ACUCUUCCGAAGCUGACGGAAAAGCCCUCUGGUUCCUCUUUCGGACUCCAAGGACUUCAGAUGCCUGCUGCUAAGAAAAGAGAGGGGCUGACAUCACCAGAAGAAAGAUGUAAGGGGUUCUCUCCGCCUCGUGGGACUGUCGAGGUAAAGGCGCGCAGAGCACUGAGCCCUCUCUGGCCUAGAGAAACCCGCUCCCUGGCCCAAGGAAUGGUUUCCGGACCCUCUGUCCUCUAGGAACCACGCUGGAUGUGGAACACCGGGGGUCUGAGCCCCAGAAGUAAAGGACCGACUGGGGGUGGGGGGAUGCAUAGGGGGUUAGAGCACCAGGACCUGACCCCGCCACCCCACCCUCCAGCUUCAGGACCGUUCAGAACCAGUCCUGGCCUUAGCCAGGUAGCUGCUAACCUGGUGGGCCCAGAAAGGUCUGGGGCUCCCCACCCCCAUGCCUGCCUGGUAGUGGGGGAAGGGAUGGGCCUUUGUUCCCCCUGCAAGACCCCCACCUGCCCUGGACUCUCAGGCCCCUCCCAUGUCCCAUCCGGCCGGGAGUCUUGGCUGCUUCUGAUAAUUGCGGGCUGGGCAAUGCGGGGCGCUUCAGGCAGUGCUUACCUUCCCUGAGCCCUGCCCUGGGACACCGGGACCUACCGUCGGUAGCCAACCUCGGAGAAACAGGCUGCUCCCGCGCGGGGCCGAGGGUGCUUGCAGAGCCGGGUGUUAGGACAGGCGGUGGCUUACCUCGGGUUCACGGUGCGAAGGUUGGAGUGCAGAGGGCUCUUUGUGCCCCUGCUCACAGCGCAGAAGUGGGGGAGCCCUUGCAAGCGCCUCCCCUCGCAAACUCCUCCCCGCACUCGUCCGCAGCCUCCCUCCCUCUGGUCCCCCGAGUGCAGCCGGCGUCGUCUUUGUAGCUGCUGCAGCGCCCAUGAAAUUUUAAUGCGGGAGCGGCUGGCGGGCGGACGGAGGAGCCCCACCCCCAGCCCUUGCCUCUGCCCUCCUCCAGCCUCCCUGAACCCCCGCAACCCCACACUCUGCCCCCUUACUCUCGCCCCAGAGUCAGGACCCUCUAGGCGAGGUUAAGCCAGGAAUGGGGGGAGUGCACCGGUGCCUCCGAGGCACAAAGGGGCGAGCUGGGCUGUGCGCUCAUCCUCCAGCAUCCCCGCCCGCGGCGCUGCCAUGGCAACGCUUGCAGGCUGGACUGGCGUGGAGAGCUUUGACUGAAGAGGUGAGCGCAGGUGGGACUGGGAUGGAGCUGGGGUGGAAGCCUGAACCCCAGCGUAGGAGAAAAGACGCGUCUUGGAAUACCAGGUUCUUAACCCACAAGGCUUUGGGUGUAGCUGCUCAAGGAACCUUGCCAAAGGUGCACAAUGUGGAGUCAAAAUUUGAAUCCAGAUCUGUGAUACACUUGCCUCUGCACACACCCCCAGUCCUAAGAACACGUAUGGGGGAGCCUUCUCCUUAGUUGCCUGCAGGUCACUGAGCUACAACACACUGUUAUCCUCUAGGACCUGACUGUCCUGGGUUCAAGUUUAGCUCUGUCCAUGCUGAUGACCAUCAGCCUACACGCCCUCUGAGACUGUGCUGUGUCCCAUCAAGUAGGUGAUAAUGGAAUCCACAUUGUGUGGGUUCCAUGAGGGAGGGUAUUUUGCACAAAACCUGGCACUUAAUAAAGGCUCAGUGCAUAUUUUUAUUAACA
Cavia porcellus (domestic guinea pig) is the source of this 1687-nucleotide long non-coding RNA. RefSeq lists it as uncharacterized. The record is from RefSeq and is a predicted model, not a curated record. NCBI's taxonomy places the organism in Eukaryota, Metazoa, Chordata, Mammalia, Rodentia, Caviidae. The transcript is spliced from 2 exons.